UAGAGUUUGAUCCUGGCUCAGAAUGAACGCUGGCGGCGUGCUUAACACAUGCAAGUCGAACGAGAAAGGGAUUGCUCGCAAUCCCGAGUAGAGUGGCGCACGGGUGAGUAACACGUAGAUAAUCUGCCUUCAAGCCUGGGAUAACUAUUCGAAAGGGUAGCUAAUACCGGAUAAAGUCGAUUUACACAAGUGGAUUGAUGAAAGAUUGCCUCUUCUUGAAAGCAAUUGUUUGGAGAUGAGUUUGCGUACCAUUAGCUUGUUGGUGGGGUAAAGGCCUACCAAGGCAACGAUGGUUAGCUGGUCUGAGAGGAUGAUCAGCCACACUGGAACUGGAACACGGUCCAGACUCCUACGGGAGGCAGCAGUGAGGAAUUUUGCGCAGUGGGGGCAACCCUGACGCAGCACGCCGCGUGAGUGAAGAAGGCCUUUGGGUCGUAAAGCUCUGUCACCAGGGAAGAAGUUACAUUGUUAACAGAUGAUUGUAUUGACGGUACCUGUGGAGGAAGCGCCCGCUAA
Molecule: ribosomal RNA, 516 nt
Filed under: uncultured Desulfobacter sp.
Lineage: Bacteria; Pseudomonadati; Thermodesulfobacteriota; Desulfobacteria; Desulfobacterales; Desulfobacteraceae
Description: bacterial SSU rRNA
Rfam family: Bacterial small subunit ribosomal RNA
Source: RNAcentral